Molecule: ribosomal RNA, 480 nt
Filed under: uncultured bacterium
Lineage: Bacteria
Description: partial 16S ribosomal RNA
Rfam family: Bacterial small subunit ribosomal RNA
Source: RNAcentral
GACGAACGCUGGCGGCGUGCUUAACACAUGCAAGUCGAACGAUGAAGUUCCUUCGGGAAUGGAUUAGUGGCGAACGGGUGAGGAACACGUGAGAAACCUGCCCAUCAUUCUGGGAUAACACCGGGAAACCGGUGCUAAUACCGGAUACUCCAUCGCGGCGGCAUCGCUGCGCUGGGAAAGAAUUUCGAUGAUGGAUGGUCUCGCGGCCUAUCAGCUUGUUGGUGAGGUAAUGGCUCACCAAGGCGACGACGGGUAGCCGGCCUGAGAGGGCGACCGGCCACACUGGGACUGAGACACGGCCCAGACUCCUACGGGAGGCAGCAGUGGGGAAUAUUGGGCAAUGGACGCAAGUCUGACCCAGCGACGCCGCGUGAGGGAUGAAGGCCUUCGGGUUGUAAACCUCUUUCAGUGGGGAAGAAGCGAAAGUGACGGUACCCAAAGAAGAAGCACCGGCUAACUAUGUGCCAGCCGCCGCCGUAA